RNAcentral lists this transfer RNA (71 nucleotides) under Candidatus Pacearchaeota archaeon. RNAcentral describes it as "tRNA-Gly". It matches the Rfam family "tRNA". Rfam says of the family: Transfer RNA (tRNA) molecules are approximately 80 nucleotides in length. Their secondary structure includes four short double-helical elements and three loops (D, anti-codon, and T loops). Further hydrogen bonds mediate the characteristic L-shaped molecular structure. tRNAs have two regions of fundamental functional importance: the anti-codon, which is responsible for specific mRNA codon recognition, and the 3' end, to which the tRNAs corresponding amino acid is attached (by aminoacyl-tRNA synthetases). tRNAs cope with the degeneracy of the genetic code in two manners: having more than one tRNA (with a specific anti-codon) for a particular amino acid; and 'wobble' base-pairing, i.e. permitting non-standard base-pairing at the 3rd anti-codon position. Lineage: Archaea; Nanobdellati. RNAcentral also lists the same sequence under 1 other name. The record is from RNAcentral.
GCGCUCUUAGUUUAGUGGUAGAACGACUGGUUGCCAAUCAGUAGAUGGGGGUCCGAUUCCCCCAGAGCGCA